AAGAAUCAGAAACUCUCUUUGUUCAUAAGAAGAUAGCUCCCAGAUUAAUCAUCCAAAAAAGAUCCACCACAGAUGUAAGAAAUUACAACAAUGCUCUACCGUCUGUAUAUUUGCUUCACGAUCCCGAGGACGCUGACAGGUUGCUCUUAAAAGAGCAGUUACUUGUCUUUCAUUUAAUCUUUUAGUAUAUCUCUGUCCCUCGACAAUCCUAGAAAGCUGGAAACAAAAAUAUUCUAUAAAUAAGUCUUAAAUAAAUUAUUUUCCAGACACAAAGAAUGAAAAUAGUCUUUUGAUCAUAGAACCUCCAUUGGCAAAUAAAUGCGCCUCUCUUCAGUUCCAGCUUCAAGGGCAGGCAAUGACGUGAAUUGAAGCGCAAUAUUAUGUCUUUCAAGAAAAUAUUGAACCACCGACAUCUCUGUCACACUGCCAUCUGUAAACCUAGCAAAUACAAUCAAAGGGAAGAUAUAACGUGAAUGCCUACUAUAACAUGGAAGGAGGGAUACAUCACUGUUACACGCAAUAUCAAGUGACCAUCGCACUACAUAGUAGCCAACUACUAUCACAUAUCAGAUUUGAGAAAUUGAUUUGAGGCACAUCCGCCAAAAUUUUUACCACCAAGUAGUUCAAUCAUACAUAAAAUACAACACAAAAGACAAAUUUAACCAUAUGUGGAAUUCAGAUGACAACAAAAGCAGGCAACAUAAAGUAUGCUUCUCAAAUGGCGUGGGGGACUCAAGAAUCAGCUAACAUAAACAAAUCGACCAACAUAAACACAACCAAACCACCAAGUUAUGUUAUCACACUCUAUCACCACAAGUUGGACAGUGUUCUUACACUUGUAUAUCAGUUAAUUACACACACACAUACAUUACUUGGCUCAUCGGUUGACUGGUUAUUCCAGUGAUCUUGCAAUUUAAGUUGUACCCCAUAUGCCUGAGCACUACCUUUAUUCCCUUCAAUGCCUUUUUCACCUAGAAGUCAAGAAUUAAACAAUUAUAUUAAUAUCAUUGAGCACGUGUCUCUAUCCCAUUCCCAGCAAUAAUUUUGAAAAUAAUUAAAGGGCAGUUGUCAAAUAGCGGCCAAAAUAGAUCGAAAGUAAAAAGUUUACAGAUAGUUCAAAAGAUUGCUAAUAUACGUAACGGAAUGAUAAUAAGUUGAUCAAGAUAACUGUACAAUUGCAAAUGAAUGCGUGGAAGAUUUUUAAAACCGCCAUUUCAAGAUCUCAUUUCUUUAUCAUCAGAAUUAUAGGCCAAAUUAUACACCAACUUCCGACAUUAAUCAUUAAACACUGUCAUCAACAUUCUGUUCCCCCUAGACUUGGGAGCUCAUUCUAUUUAGAUUUCAAUGGCCAAGAACAACACUACUCACUACCCACCAGUUCAGCCACAAAUUAAGAAAUUACCCUAUCCAAAAUUUGCAAGAAAUUUGAAAUUUUAAACUGCUAAUUACUUGCAAUUAAUUAUACACAGCAUCUAAAACAUUACUUAACUGUUUUCCUAACAAAUCUGUGAUCAUUCUUUGAAAAGGCUCUUAUCGCAAAUAUAUUACGGUGCUGCAGCCCUCAAUUAAAACUUUUAACCGCCCAAUAGAUAGCUCAUUAAAUUGAUACUAAAUUAAUUAUAACCAAGACAUCACGAAAGAAGACUAGACAAUACCUUCAGACGCACUUGAUCAGAAAGAGGACGUGAUAAGUCGCUGCAAUAAUACUGAACAAACUCAGUAACUAGAAUUGGCUUAUAAAAGGAGCUGGCUGAAACAUCUGCAACAGCAAAAGCAAAUAUUUAUGUAGCAACGUUGCACCUAAAAAAGAAAAUCAAGUUUGCAUAAUAUAAAAGAGAAGCAGCAUCAAAUUAUAUAAAAUAUAAUGAGAAAUACCAAUAUUAAGAGAUAGCCCCAUCUGGGUUGGGCGAAGACUCUGAAAAUAUCCACGCCAAUAUUCAACGUCAUCACCAAGCUGACCCAUUGGUCCAAGAUCAGCUGAGAAAAAUGACCUUCCCAGAACUGUAUGCCUGAUGCAGAAGUUCAUCAUUUCAUUAAUUAAUCAUUCUAAAACCUAAAUUGUUCAAGACACAAAAUAGACAAUCAUAAAAUUGUUCCUCAGAAAUAAAAUGCUAAAUCAGUUGCAUGAACAAGCAAAUGCCGGCAUGGGCAGGCAACAUCCUAUUUCAUACAAACCAAAAAGUGAAACUUUUAUUAACACGGUUAAGGUUAAAUACUUCUCUGAUGGAGCUGCUCUGAGAACAACAUCAAGCACUUGUAUAACAUGGUACGGAGCUUCAAAAUGCAUUCGGCGUAAGAACUGCUGUAGAGUGUAAAGAUCAGGCAUCGAUGCCAAUCUGAUAACCACCCUAAACUGACCCUCCCUUCUGCAUAAGAAAUUACUCAGACACAUUAAAUCAAGAAAACUCACAAUCAACAAUAUUCAAGAAACACACAUGUUAAAAGCAUGAGAUACCCCGGGCUGGUAGACGAGCUGGGAUGAGGAUCACUAUCAGGUAAAUUGAUAAUGAAUUCCUUCGAUUCAAAAGGCAGCGGCCCUGCCGUGUAAAUGUUCUUCAUACCAUCAUAGGCAGGUAUUCGUCCACCCAAGUUAGUCAGCCCAUAUAAAUUAAUCAGGUGAGAAAUAAUUUGUCUGUUGAUUUUUUUUGACGUCACCUCUGAAUAUCGAUUCGAUUCGAGAUCUUGGACUUGAUCAAUUGAAACCUUAAAAAAUAAAUAAACAAGGAAAACAAUAAACAUGUUUUUAAAAUAGCAAUAAAACCCCGACAUCUUCGAAUUCGACGCUCACGAAUGGUGAAUCUUAAAUAAAAUCAAAAUUGACGAGAAAAACGGAAAAUAAAAAAUAAAAGGAGUCAAAACGUUUUCGAAAAUAACAAAGUUAAAAUUAAAAGUAGACUUACAUCAUAGUGAUGAAUGUCUCUCUCGGCAAGUUGCACCAUAAAGUGAUUUGCUCGGACAACACAUUUUCUGCCAACGGUUCCGAUUCCCGGCCUCACCGGAAGUCUCAAUUCCUGCGACGACAAAGGGGGAAGAGUAGCCGCCGCUGGUGCCGCCAAUGACAGUUUCUGCUCAGUUUCUUCGACAAGAGUAGAAACUGAAGACGAAGAAGGAGAGGAUUCUGAAACAGACGGAGACGAAGGAGCCGGCGCCGUCGAAGUCGAAGCGGUGUGUGGUGAGGACGGGGCUGCACCGGAGCCGGAAUGCGAUCCACGACCAGCACCCCCACGUUGACCUUGACGACCUCGGCCCCGUGGUCCCGCGGCUCCGCCACCACCGCGCUGGAAAGACGGCGCCGGUGCCUGAGUCGGCUGGUCACGGCAAGAAUCCCGCCUACGACCACCGCCACCACGUCGAGACAUUGUCGAAAGCAGAAAGGUAAAAUAUCAGAGAAAAUUUUGGGGAACCGAAGUGAAGUGAUGGUCACGCAAAUAAAGCGCGAGAGCUACGACUUGAGGAGAAAGUAAGUGUCAGAGAGCUACGACUGGACAGCUACGGCAAGAAUCCUGCACACCUGAUCAUUGUUAUAUAUGUAUAUAUGUACACAAAAACACAUUGGCAAUUGGGCAUUAAAAUUUAUUUGAACAUAUUAUAUUUAGCCUAUUUAAUAAUUUAAACCACUUUCUAAACUUAUAAAUUUUCCUUUUAAAUAUGUUAUAUAUUUGGUCCAUUUAUUAGUUUAUUGUAUGUGUUAUGGACUUGAAAGUGGUGCUCAAGUCAUGACUUAAUUGAUUGAUACAAUUACCUAUCUCAUAACUUUAAAUUUUUAAAAGGGUAAUGAUACAGCCACAAACUCUUGUACAAAUUUAUUUUGUACAAACUGACGUGACAUUAAUUCAUUGAUUGAAUGAAAAUAUAAAUUAAUAAAAAUAAAUCAUGUGGGCCAAAUGAUAUUUAAUUCAACCAAUCUUAUCAUGCUACAUCAUUUUGUACAAAAUAAGUUUGUACAAGAGUUUGUGGCUGUAUCAUUACUCUUUUUAAAAAUAUCAAGACAAAAGUCAUCAGUUUUAACUUUUUAAAUAGUUGAGUUUGAUUUAUUUGAUCAACUAAAUUUCUUACUAUAUAUGAUAAGUUUUUUAUAUUUGCCUCAAAUAUUUAUAUUAAUUUUAAGUCAUUACUUGAAAAUAACAAACAACAAUCUAUAGCUGAAACUUUAAAUUGUUAAUUAAGUUGACAAUGAAGUUAUUAUAGUAUGUAAUUUUAUAAAACUGCAAAUGAGUUGAGAAAAAUUGUAAUUAUGUUGAAAAUCAGUAAUUCAAUGAAAUUCAAUAAUUUGACACCUAUUAUUUUUUGUUGAAAGUUUUUUUGCAAUUGUAUCAUACUAAACCUCUCCUAGAUAAAAUUUUUGGGUUCGUCCCUAUCAAUGUGUCUGCAUAUAUGUAUAUAACAUUCAUAUUAUUAGUUAACUAAAAAAAAAUAAACUAAGUAAAUAUUGAAUCAAUAUGAUAAUAUAAUAUAAUAAUAUUUACAGAUACUUCGUCAUGUACUUAUUAGACAACUAUUUUUAAAUACGAAAAGAAUUAUCCCACAUUAUCUCUAAGGUCCUCAUGGGAUGAAAUUUUUCCUCAUAAAAGUAUGGGUCCAAGAUUAAAUAGCGUGGUCUCAGGAUACAUGAUCCUCACUUCUCUGAUCUCUCUGUGGCACGAAACGAUAGACCGGACUAAUUUUAAAAAGAAUAGUCUAAUCCUCCAACUCUAUACGACUGCUUAACGUGCGCCUAUAUUCUUUUUUUUUUGUUUAAUAAGGGCUCUGUAAAAAGAGCUAAAUCGGAACAAUACGGGGUUUAGCAACCCCAAUCAUGUCCUGCAAAAUAACUGAAUAAAUGCCCACAGGCGGGCUAGUAAAAAAAUGCAUCCCAUUAGGGAGAGAAAGAGCCAUAUUGGCCAUGAAAUCUGCAACUGAAUUCGCUUCGCGAUAGAUGUGAGUUAGGCAGACUUGCCAGUUCCUAUCAAGAAGAUCCCGGAUUGCAACCACUAAAGCAUAGGAAACAUUGGGCACGACUACCUGCUUGGAAAUCAUUUGUGUAACAUACAGACUAUCCACUUCCACCAAUAGCCAUUUUAUGCCAGCCUCCCACGCCAAGAUUAGCCCUUGAUAAAGACCCCAUAGCUCCGCCAUAGCCACCGUACACUCCCCAAUAUUCAUACAAAAUCCCGAAAUCCAAUUUCCAACAUAAUCACGAAUAACGCCCCCAGCUCCUGCCUCAUAUGAAUUUCUAACGGAACCAUCCGUAUUUAAUUUGCACCAAGGCCAUGUAGGAACCUGCCAGCCGACAAACAUCUCUCUUCUCUUCGGUUGCUGACUCAUAUGAGAAAAAUUAAUUCUAUGAAUUUCAUUUGCUCUAGCCAUAACAUCCAUAAUGAUUGCUGAGCUAUCCACCAAUUUUCCUUCGACCAUGAAAUGAUUUCUCCAGAACCAUAGCCUCCAAACGGCCACCCCAAAAACACACUCCCAAGGAAUGUGAGAAGCAAGCUUUGACUUGUUCUGAAGAUUAACUACAAUCCAGUCCCGGAGAUUAGCGUGAAAGAUAGAGUUAUAAUCACCCUCUGAAACAAGACACAACCAUACCCGUUUGAUGCACGGGCAGUCUCUCAAAGCGUGAAGAAUGUCUUCAACCGGAGCCCCACACCUAUCGCAUGCCAUUGACACAGGAAUAUGACGUCGAACUAAUUCGCCAUGAGUUUUUAAGCUACCAUGCAUAAUCUGCCAGAGGAAAAGCCGAACCGACUGUGGUCCCUUCCACGACCAUGCAAGGCUCCACAUUUCCUCUUUGAUGGCGGGAUUUUGGCUGCAGAUGGAGUCAUAUGCUGAACGGACAGUAAAGAUGCCUCUGUGGUCAAAACUCCAAAAAAUUCUAUCAACACCUAGCUGAGGCGCGGGAGGCAUAACUGAUGCAAUUUGCAUGAGGAUAAAGUUAGGUAGCAAAUGCUCAAAUCUCGGCCAGUUCCAGCCCCCAUGUUCAGUGACAUACUCACUCACCGGAUCAUUGAUACGCUCGUGCGGGAUUGGCUGGAUGGCAAGCGUUAUCAAGGGUUCGUGCUUUGUUGCCCAACAGUCAAACCAGAACCGGACUCUCCCCCCGUUGCAAACUGACCAGCGAGCUCUAUGCAUGGUGUCUGCCCACGUUUUCCUGAUAGCCAUCCAGAUCCUAGACCCUUGUUUCUCCGGAAGUGUAAGCGGUAAGUUUCCAAUAUCCAAACCAUAUUUAGAACAAAACACCUUUACCCAUAAUUUUUCCGAAUUCGAAACAACUUCCCACGUUAGCUUCAUCAACAACGCCUGAUUCAUCACAUCCAACUUUUUAAAUCCCAAACCUCCGUGGGUCUUUGGCUUACAAAUUCUGUCCCAGCCCACCAUACUUAGCUUGUGCCUCUUCGAAUUCCCAUCCCAAAUAAACCGGCGACAUGCCGUGUCAAUUUUCUGCCGCACCGGGGGGGGAAGUAAAGUUGUUUGCAUUGCAUAGAUAGGCAUUGCCUGAACCACCGAUUGCGCCAAAGUUACUCUUCCAGCAAAAGAUAAAUGCGCGGCAUUCCAUCCAGUAAGCCUCAUGUUCACCUUAUCCAAAAUGGACUGAUAAGUAGCUUUAUUCACCCGCGAGUGAAUUAGAGGCAUGCCAAGGUAAGAACCCAAAUCCUUAGUAGCCGAAAAACCCAAUGCGUCACCAAUAAGCUGGCCAUCUCUAAUUGAUACAUUUUUAGAGAAAAAAACUUUGAUUUUCGAUUUAUUAACCUUUGCUUCAGAGCUUCGGCAAUAAUUCUCCAACACUUCGUCAAUUAUAUAGGCUUGAUCAACUGAGGCUUCUGAAAAUAAAAGUAAAUCAUCAGCGAAAAAAAGGUGAGUUAGGGGAGUUCCAUGUUUGGCCAACCGGAUUGGUUUCCAAAAGCCUUCCCUCACAGCUUUAGAAAUACCAUGACUUAAACGCUCAAUGCAAAGCACAAAAAUGUAUGGAGAUAGAGGAUCUCCCUGUCGAAUUCCUCUCCCCGGGGAGAAUUCCUCUGUAACCUCUCCAUUCCACAAAAUGCUCAUUUUAACUGUAGUAACACACUCCAUGAUGAGCCUAGAUAGCUGAAUCGGAAAACCAGCCAGCUGAAGAGUUUCGAAGAUAAACGACCAAUUGAGCCGAUCAUAUGCCUUCUCAAGAUCGACCUUGAUAGCCAUAAGCCCUCGCUUGCCUGUCUUCCGUCGCAUAGAAUGAACUACUUCUUGGGCAACAACAAUAUUAUCGAUAAUGUGGCGGCCAGGAACAAAACUGGUUUGAUGUGGGCCUAUAAUUUCAGGCAGUACAGCUUGUAAACGGUUCGCAAUUAUUUUAGUCACAGUUUUAUAGGCUACCGUACAUAAGCUGAUAGGUCUAAACAUUUUUAAACUAGUAGGAUGCUCCACUUUAGGGAUCAACACUAAAAGAGUAGUAUUGACCUCUUUAGGGAUCCUACCAGAGUUAAAAAUGUCAACAAUGAACUUGCAGAAGGAAGGUCCAACCACUGCCCACUGAGACUGAUAGAAGAUAGCUUGCAACCCGUCUGUGCCUGGAGCCUUAAGCGGCUUCAUACUAAAAACAACAUUCUUGAUCUCUUCUACCAAAACUGGUUUAGCGGCACAAUCAAUAUCAAAAGCUACCAGAUUUGGGAAAUAAUUGGGGACAAAAUAAGUGCAGGGGUUUACCACCUCACUUGUGAAAAGAUCUGAAAAAUACCCCAUUGCAUGAUUUCGGAUUUCUUCCUCAUUAUAAAGCCAAUUUCCCGAACUGUCCUGGAUGGCUUCAAUUCUAUUCCGUCGCCUACGGACAAUAGUUUUUUGGUGGAAGAACCUAGUAUUUCUAUCCCCAUGCAUAAUCCAAUCCUUCCUUGAUUUUUGCCACCAAAGAAUCUCCUCCUGCCCCAUCACUGUCUCCAAUUCUUUCCGCAACUGUGCCUCUAAGCGCAUUAACCCCCUCGAACUAUAAUUCUCCAAGGCUGCUUGAAUUCCGUUAAUUCGAGCCAUUAAGACACGUUUCCGCUGAAAAAUAUUCCCAAAAACCGCUCGAUUCCAAACUUUAACCUCUUUGACAAAAUUGGAUGCCGCAUCGCUAUAAGAAGCUUUAGGAUCCCACGUCUGCUUAACAAAAUUAUUAAACUGAUCAUUUGUUAACCAAGAAGCCAAAAAUCGAAACGGUCUAUUAGCAUGAUGUCCCCGUACAAUUCUUCCAAAACGAACUAGAACCGGUCUGUGAUCCGAAGCAACUUUUGGCAGAUGGAGAACUGAGUUAUCUGUAAACUUUAAAAGCCACUCAUUAUUACAUAAGGUUCUAUCUAGCCUUUUAAGAAGAAAGCCACGAGACCGUCUGAAGCGAGGGCCUUUGAACUUUAAAUCAAAUAUUUGGUUGUCAUCAAACCACUGCCGAAACAAGCCACACCCUCUUGAUUGUCCUGCAGCUCCCCCAUGUUUCUCUGAUGCGUACAAUAUAGAGUUAAAGUCGCCACCAAUCAGCCAAGGUUCUUUAACAGAUAAAGCAAGGCUAUCCAAGUGAACUAUCAAACAUGGCAAUUGUUUCAUUGUUUAUGAUAAUUCUAAUAGUAAAUUUUAAUUUUACAGUACUAUAGAAGGACCAGACAAUGGACGUAAUUUGUGUGUUUCUCCAAUCCUGAAGAAGCCAAUAGAGCCAUAAGCACUUUGAAUGGCAUCCUGUUUCAUCAAAAGCCACUACACUUGGCCAUUGCUCAAACAAAGCAAGAAAGAAGUUCAUACCCCCAAAUGAUGUAUGCAAAGCAAGGGCCGGGAGUUGCUAGCACCAAUUUUCUUGUGUAUCCGACUCUUUAUCAACGUGCAUUACAAGUGUAUCAAGCACCAGACUUCAGACAUGGUGGCAUGAUUCCUAAUGGGUUUGUUCCGUCUCUUCCUCCUCUUCCUCUGUUUCGAAUGGUAAUGUACAAUCAAGUGUAGGCUAUGAUUGGAAUUGCUGACUUUGCGGUGAAUGAUUCAGAGUUUUUUUUCUUUUUUUUUUUAAAGGUAAGAGGGGGUGGGUAAGUCCAAAUACAAUUUUUUACUCCCUUACCAGUUACCACCCCCAAAAAUCGAGCCCAAAUUUUGAUAGAAGCUACAGUUGCACUGUAACCAAUCCGACCACGCCCUUGUGGGCCGACGAAUGAUUUAGAGUUACAGUCUCCUAAUUCUGUAAGGCAAACUGGAGAGGGAGGAUGAACGGGCAAGCUAAUUUUCCAAUGCCAUUUAUGCUAUCAAAUCUAUAGAGGCCUUUUUGCAAUUAUCCAAGCUAUCAGUAGUUUUUUUUUUUUUUAAAUUUCUGCUUGAUACUAAAUGAAUUGUAUUCCAUUUGCUUUUUGAAACAAAAUGCUUCUUAAUAACUGUUUAAUUCAUAUGACCAUUAUUGUAGAGGGCUGGGCAAACUGCUGCCAACAACCUGACAAAUGGGAGUCAAAGAGCUACUGCUUCCAAUGAUAAUCUUAUUUCUGCGAAAGGUCAACUUCAAUUUAUACCAGAUAGAAUAAUAAUCUUCAGUUGACCUUUCAAUUUAUUUCCAGUCGUUCAGAAGAUGAUGAUAGAUAAAAACUGCAUUGAUGAAUUCUUUUUGUCUUCUUAACAGUAAAAGGAGCUAAAUUGAUGUUUCAUAUAUUCGAGGUAAAUAGUAAAUUGUCAUUCUAGUAAAUUGAAAUUUAACUUUCUGCAAAUGUACUUGUAAUUUUCAGCUUUGGUUUAGUACUAUUUACAUGUAACUUUUGGGCAGUGUGAUCUUUCACCAAAGAUUACUCAGAUGCUUUUGGAAACGGAUCACUCCGAGCUGCUUGUGUUGUUGGAUAUAAAAGAUAAAAGGAAUAAUGAAAAGCUUCAACUUUAUUGAAUGGUUUUUCAUCAUUAUGCAUACACGAGGGAAGAAAAUUACAAAAGGAAAGCUUGACUAUAAACAAGCUAUAUUCUAAAAGUUAUUUACAUAAUAAUGAUUAAUAUACAAAUUAAAAAUUAAUAAGUUAAAGCCAAUAAUUAUGAAGACCAUAAUGAAAUAUAUUGGCGAUAAUCAUAGAGACUAUAAAGCGGAAGAAGCAAAGAAAGUAAUUCAGAAGCCACCGUCCAGGAGGAAUAAAGAGCAAUUGAAGGGGCAAAAAAGGAAGCAUGCACGGUUCAAUACUCUUAUGGACUGCGUAAUUGCUUUUGAAUUCAAUUCUUUCGUUCUUGCAAUAUUUGUUCAUCUAUUUAAGCAUCUUAAUUAAAACAACUGCAUGUACCCGGCUGUAUACACGCACCAUUUACCCAGUCAAACAAUUGAGGCAAAAUUUAAUUUCCUUUCUGACACCCAUUUUUUAAUUAUAAUUUUAUUAUCUUAAUUCAUUAAAUCUCAAAAAUCACCAAAAAAAAAAAAAAAAUCCUUGAUUAAUUAAUUCUUCUUUCCCUACGGUAACAAGGGUCAAAGCUUAAACCAAUUUCUCUUUCUUUCAAUUUUUCUUUUUCAUUCUCUCUCUCCAAACUUUAUCUUUUUCUUACUUUUCAUUAUAAUAUUAUCAUUUAUUGCCCAUUACUAUCAUUCAAAAUUUAUUCUGUCCAAGAUCUGACAAAGAAAAUUCUAACAAACUUAGAACGGUGUAAAAUAUCUUAUUUUUUUAUUUUUAGAUGAUUAACAUUGUCUCUUUCAACUUGCUUCAAAUUACAAUAGAGCUGAAUUUAUUAAUUUUUGAAUAAUUAUAAAAUAUAAUAUUUACUUCAUAUAUCAUAAUAAAUUUUGGUUAAAGGAAAGGGAUGGAGAGAGAGAGAAAAUAAGACUAAAUAUAUAAUUGAUCAAAUUUUAUUUUCAGAAUAAAAAUGUUAAUUUAAAAAAAAAAGGAGCAGUGCGAAAAUCAGUGGAUCCAAAUUAAAAAAUAACCCGACCUAUAGCAAAGUAAGAGCAUAAACAAAAACCUUUCUUUCGAAAUACAUAUGGAGUUCGUUUUGCAUUUAAAUUUACAAGGCAUUAACUGGGAGAAUAUGCAGCUUAUAGUUUUAAGCCAAGGGUGAUUAGUUUCUACCCUUGAUGCCUAAUUUGAAACUAUGGAAACCAUGACUAAAACAAGAGAGGCUGGAGCCUGCUUUCAGCAGUAAAACAUUACAUCUUUCACAUUAUCCUUGAUGACGGGAAGUGGCCGGAUAGCCAAAUUCCUAUCUGCUGUGCUCCUACUCCCACCUGUGGAUCCACCAGCAGAUGUUUCAUCCUCAAUAUAAUAUCGAGCCCGAAAAGCUGCUAAAUGUGCAUAAUAUGCUGGAGGCACUGCCAUAAGAAACCAACCAUUUUUAAAAAAUAAUAAUAAUAAGUCAAUGCUUGCCAGAACGAUAAAUAAUUCAUUGAUUCAAAAUGCUUUUAGCAAAACAACAGAAGUUCAAGGAUCAGACCUAUGGAAACUGAUCGAGUACACCUUGCGUACCUGAAAAUGGCAAUGAGUCAAAACUUACAAAAUAACCAUACGAAAGAUAAAUUCCUCAGCAAUGCAAUAUUAGAUCCAGUUAUAGAGAAGGUAAACAUAUUACGUGUAACACAAGUUAUUUGUUAACACUUGCAAGUCAUCUGCAGAAAAACGGUUCUCAUCGUACAACACAUGGUAGUGAAUUGGGCGACUGGUUCCCUGUAAUGAAUGCCUUAAUCAGUCCAACACUUUCAAAAUUAGGGGAAAAAAAGGAAGAAUAAGUGUACAUUGUUCAAUGAGAGUAAGUGUGGAUAGAUAAUAAAAUUUGGAUUGAAAAAGCAAACUUAUUUUUUACCCGAAUUCCUGCAUGGCUGUUGAGAUAAAAAUCGAAUUGUGUAGGGUGACAAAUUUGAGUAUCAACAACAGUUCCUAACACAAGAACAUCCCAAAAAUAUUCAUCAAAGACAAGGUUAAGCAGCAACAUGGUUCCCGGCCAUUGUGAAUACUCAAAAGAAGCAAAUAGAAAAUAACGAUGAAUAAUACAGAGCAAAUUUGGAACCUGGCAAAAUAUUUCCACUCCUAUCUGUCAGAUCGCGGUUGUUGUGCUCAGCAGGAAAAAGGCGAGUAUGAUGCCUUUUUUGUACCACAACAAACGUAACUGGUGGCGCAUAUCCCUCCUCAAGUGAGGCACAGGCCUGGAAAUAAGUCAAUUUAGCAUGUUGCAACAAAAGUCAUCAUAAAGAAAUUAACUUAACCUGACUGAAUUGAAAAUCUCUAGAACACAAGAAAAAUUUGUUAACUUCAGGACUAAUCAGCAUUACCUGUCGGAUAGCACUCAUUUCAUGGAGCAAAACCUGACUGAAUUGGCCUUCGCCAACACCAUCUCUGGCACAUAAAUGAAACAACAUCAGUAACAUUCUGCAAAACAUACAGUUUAACAUUGAAAACAGCCAUUACCGGUAGAAAAUAAUCCUAUGAGGUUUAAGGUUUGUUGAUCUUCUGAACGCAAUUAACAGUUCCCUGUAAAAGACAAACAGAAGCAUAAGGUUCUCUUAAUUAAGGCAUAUGAAAAAUUUUUCCAUGUCUACUAACCUGAUCAUUCCUCCAUGAACUGAACCCCCAAAAGGAUCUUGAGUAGAUUUAUAGAGAUCUUGGAUAAUUUCCUGAUUAUGUGCCUGAGCAGAGACAAGUCCUCUGUACUUGGUUACUUCUGGCCAAUCCAUUGAGGCCACCACCUGUCUCAGUCAAUUCAAUCUUUUAACAGAGUGAAUUACUAGAAAGCAGAAACAGAAGAUGAGUGUACAUACAGCCGCUAUUGAAGGGCUAGAGUCUUCUCCUGGUUGUGGAUGGGUGACAUCUGAACCAAAUAUAAUUGUAGGUCUAUCAGUCACAAGAGGAAUUCUUUUCUGAACAGCAUCAACGAGCACAGUGUUUCGUCCUCCGACCUGAUAAAAUUACAAGUAGCAAACUGAAUCUCCAGUACCAAGGAAGCCAACCUAUCAAUUUUAACAAGAAAUUUUGGCACUCCCAAACUCUUCGAAAAAAAAAAAUUCUCGAACAUCAGAAUUUGAUUAUUUGGAAAAAAAAAGUUACAAUAAUUCCAGCAAAUCAAGACUGAAAUUAAAUUGCCCAAAAAAAAAAAUUCAUCUCCUACAUGUUUUCCCACUAACCCUUGUAUUUGUAAAUAUUAACCAUGAUGACGAACAGGAAAAAAAAGGGGGCAAAGCAAACCUUCACAUUGAUUUUAAGAGCCACAUUUUCAAAAUACGGAAUAUUGAGCCUUGAUGCCUGUCUAGGCUGACAGCAUUGUGAAACAAUCCCAAGUUCUGUUUCACAAACUCGCUUAAUUCUUCCUGCAAGCAGAAAGCCGAUAAUGUUGAACAAAACCAAAGCUGAUAUAAAAAUUUAAUCAUGGAUUAAAUUUAUCACUCACCAUAUGAUCCGCUAACAUCAGGUAAAAUAAUUAUCAACAGCUGAAGCUGUUUCCCUUGCUGUGUAGUCCGAUUGUGAACAUCGACAAGUGCCUUCUCAAUUUGAUUUGGGUUGGAUGAACUUAUGGGAAUGACAGGCCGCGGAUUAAAUACCUGGCAUGAUAAACACAGACCCCCCAAAAGAAAAAAGUCGGUUCAGAGAGGCCAUUAACCUGAAUUGCUAACAUGAAUCGCAAAAUAAAUAACAUUACCAUACCAUUCCCUUGCUAUUACACAUGUCUACCAACCCCUGACAGAACUGGAAUGGCACGUCCCGAUUCAAAUGCGUGGAGAAGUUCACACAACUCCAAACUUCCACCCUCCCACCAUUGAACAUUUUCUAUAAAACCAAAAUUACACAAAAUUCAGUGUGAAUAAAAAAAAAGCUCCUCGUUCAGAAGGCAAAGUGGAUUGAGCUGAACACCAAGCACAUACAAUCUAAAUACCUAAGUGAAUAUCAAAUACAAUGCUUUUGAAAGAUGAGAAGUAUAUAACUAAAUAGAAAUUACAGCAUGCUAAAAUGGAAAAAAAAAAUUAUGGUUGCAAAAGAAAUGCAGCACAACCACAUUGCAUCAAAUGUAGCAAAUCAACUUCUAAUCCAUCCUACCCAUCAGUCAAUAAACAUCCCUGAACCAAUUUAAACAGUGGUAACUGCUUCCGUAUGCUCUUCCUAAGCACAAAUCAACAACUACGGAAUAAAAUAAUAAUCAGUAAUUCACCUUGUUCCUCAUGUUCCAUUGCCCAAAACCAGGAUUCACGCUUGCUUCUUGGCCAGUUCCAUGAUAUUUAAGCUGCAGCAUUACAGGAGGUAAAGUUAACCAUAAGGAGAUUGGAAGUACCAUAAUCCUGUUACAAAUAAAACAAAAUGACACAUAAUUACCAUUGGAGCAGGUAGGAUUCGAGCAUCAACCGAUGCAAGACCAUCAGCCAUUUGAAUUCCAAACUCCUUGUUCACAAGAGUAUCUUCACUGUAAGGAUUUUCCCUAGCCAUCUGCAGAAGAAUGUCAACCAGAAUCAGAACCUCUCUUUGUUCACAAGAAGAUAAUUCCUAGAUUAAUCAUCCAAAAAGAUCCACCACAGACGUAAGAAAUUACAACAAUGCUCUACCAUCCGUAUAUUUGCUUCACGAUCGCGAGGACGCUGACAGGUUGCUCUUAAAAGAGCAGUUACUUGUCUUUCAUUUAAUCUUUUAGUAUAUCUCUGUCCCGCGGCAAUCCUAGAAAGCU
This 14553-nucleotide long non-coding RNA is filed under the name Citrus sinensis (sweet orange). RNAcentral describes it as "long non-coding RNA (CSIN_LNC003007)". The record is from RNAcentral. Lineage: Eukaryota; Viridiplantae; Streptophyta; Magnoliopsida; Sapindales; Rutaceae.